RNAcentral lists this ribosomal RNA (800 nucleotides) under uncultured bacterium. RNAcentral describes it as "bacterial SSU rRNA". It matches the Rfam family "Bacterial small subunit ribosomal RNA", at positions 8 to 849 of the family's 1533-position model. The record is from RNAcentral.
AGAGUUUGAUCCUGGCUCAGGAUGAACGCUGGCGGUCUGCUUAACACAUGCAAGUCGAACGGAAUCCAGCAAUGGAUUUAGUGGCGGACGGGUGAGUAACGCGUGAGAAUCUGCCUUCAGGACGGGGACAACAGUUGGAAACGACUGCUAACACCCGAUGUGCCUUAGGGUGAAAAAUUUAUUGCCUGAAGAUGAGCUCGCGUCCGAUUAGCUAGUUGGCGGGGUAAGAGCCCACCAAGGCAGCGAUCGGUAGCUGGUCUGAGAGGAUGAGCAGCCACACUGGGACUGAGACACGGCCCAGACUCCUACGGGAGGCAGCAGUGGGGAAUUUUCCGCAAUGGGCGAAAGCCUGACGGAGCAAGACCGCGUGGGGGAGGAAGGCUCUUGGGUUGUAAACCCCUUUUCUCAGGGAAGAAUAAUGACGGUACCUGAGGAAUCAGCCUCGGCUAACUCCGUGCCAGCAGCCGCGGUAAUACGGAGGAGGCAAGCGUUAUCCGGAAUUAUUGGGCGUAAAGCGUCCGCAGGUGGCUCGUCAAGUCGGUGGUCAAAGCACAGGGCUUAACUCUGUAAAGGCCGGCGAAACUGACAAGCUAGAGUGCGGUAGGGGCAGAGGGAAUUCCCGGUGUAGCGGUGAAAUGCGUAGAGAUCGGGAAGAACACCAGUAGCGAAAGCGCUCUGCUGGACCGCAACUGACACUCAGGGACGAAAGCUAGGGGAGCGAAUGGGAUUAGAUACCCCAGUAGUCCUAGCCGUAAACGAUGGAUACUAGGUGUUGUCUGUAUCGACCCGGACAGUGCCGG